AGCGAACGCUGGCGGCAGGCCUAACACAUGCAAGUCGAACGAACCUUUCGGGGUUAGUGGCGGACGGGUGAGUAACUCGUGGGAACGUGCCUUUAGGUUCGGAAUAACUCAGGGAAACUUGUGCUAAUACCGAAUGUGCCCUUCGGGGGAAAGAUUAAUCGCCUUUAGAGCGGCCCGCGUCUGAUUAGCUAGUUGGUUGAGGUAAUGGCUCACCAAGGCGACGAUCAGUAGCUGGUCUGAGAGGAUGAUCAGCCACAUUGGGACUGAGACACGGCCCAAACUCCUACGGGAGGCAGCAGUGGGGAAUCUUGCGCAAUGGGCGAAAGCCUGACGCAGCCAUGCCGCGUGAAUGAUGAAGGUCUUAGGAUUGUAAAAUUCUUUCACCGGGGACGAUAAUGACGGUACCCGGAGAAGAAGCCCCGGCUAACUUCGUG
RNAcentral lists this ribosomal RNA (434 nucleotides) under uncultured bacterium. RNAcentral describes it as "partial 16S ribosomal RNA". It matches the Rfam family "Bacterial small subunit ribosomal RNA", at positions 29 to 507 of the family's 1533-position model. The record is from RNAcentral.